CGGGGACUGUUCCCGUCCUCCCCCCAACCCUUGGGACGCUCAGGAUGCCCCAGGAACAAAGCAAACUGUGGCCACAAACCAUGUCUUGGCCUGUGCCCAUGGGCUGUGGCCACUGAAGUGGGUUGCACGGUG
Molecule: small nucleolar RNA, 132 nt
Filed under: Sorex araneus (European shrew)
Lineage: Eukaryota; Metazoa; Chordata; Mammalia; Eulipotyphla; Soricidae
Description: Small nucleolar RNA SNORA42/SNORA80 family (ENSSARG00000017556.1)
Source: RNAcentral